GAUGAACGCUGGCGGCGUGCCUUAUACAUGCAAGUCGAGUGGGUUUAGACCCACGGCAAACGGUUGAGUAACACGUAGGUACUUUCCUUGUCACAGGAAUAACCCUCCUAAAGGAGGGCUAAUACCUGAUGUGAUCGCAAGAUUAAAGGGUAUCCGCAAGGAUUACCGGACAAGAAGAGGCCUGCGGCCUAUCAGCUAGUUGGCGGGGUAAAUGCCCACCAAGGCUAUGACGGGUAGCUGGUCUUAUGAGGAUGAUCAGUCACAUGGGCACUGAGACACGGGACCAACUCCUACGGGAGGCAGCAGUAGGGAAUUUUGCGCAAUGGGCGAAAGCCUGACGAAGCGACGCCGCGUGCGGGAUGAAGGCCUUCGGGUAGUAAACCGCUUUUAUAAGGGACGAACUUUGACGGUACCUUAUGAAUAAGAGGUUGCUAACUAUGUG
Molecule: ribosomal RNA, 442 nt
Filed under: uncultured bacterium
Lineage: Bacteria
Description: partial 16S ribosomal RNA
Rfam family: Bacterial small subunit ribosomal RNA
Source: RNAcentral